Non-coding RNA from Biomphalaria pfeifferi, 555 nucleotides. The record is from the annotation of a GenBank genome assembly. NCBI's taxonomy places the organism in Eukaryota, Metazoa, Mollusca, Gastropoda, Planorbidae.
UCCCCCCCCCCCCCUCCAAAUGAGCUUCUCUUAACGUCACAUGAUGUCAACACCACAACCUUCAACUUGGCUUUUAUUUAUUCUUUUUCUUUGUCUAUAUUAAAUUAUAUUUCCCUGCUGUAGCCUUGAACUAGUUUUCUAUCAAGUGUCAAAACGUGUUACGUAAUUGGAAGGCUGACACACUGACCUACAUUAUGUGAACGACAUUGAUGUGUCUACAAGGAUGUGACAAUGAUCAUUAAAGUAAAUUUCCCCUUUCAGAUUAAAAAUGUUGUAUCCAACAAGAUGACUUUUUUUUAAGGGAUGGCCUCACCACCAGAUCCUUGCGAUCUAUAGGGCAGAUGAUGUUAAGGUCAUCUGUUGUUGUUUUUUUGGGGCCAACGGUUAACGACCUAUCGCCAUUACUUUCCCCAAAAUAAAAUCAGGCACCCAUUAGACUCAUGGGCCCCCUAAAAAUCCCAAAAUGUCAAAUUCCAGUCUUCACUGCGAUUCGAACCAAGGACCCCAGGUUCGGAGGCUAAACGCUUAACCAUUUAGCCACAGUGCCCCCCCCCC